AACGAACGCUGGCGGCAGGCCUCAUACAUGCAAGUCGAGCGAUUAAGACUCCUUCGGGAGUGUAUAAAGCGGCGAACGGGUGAGUAACAGGUGGAUGAUCUACCUUCCGGUGGGGGGAUAACGGCUGGAAACGGCCGCUAAUACCGCAUUCGGUUAAUACGCUGUGGCGUAUUAAAGAAAGGCGCCUCAAAGCGCCGCCGGGAGAUGAGUCCGCCCCCCAUUAGCUAGUUGGUGAGAUAACAGCUCACCAAGGCAACGAUGGGUAGCCGAACUGAGAGGUUGAUCGGCCACACUGGAACUGAGACACGGUCCAGACACCUACGGGUGGCAGCAGUAGGGAAUAUUGGGCAAUGGGCGAAAGCCUGACCCAGCCAUGCCGCGUGAGUGAUGAAGGUCCUAGAGAUUAGUAAAACUCUUUUCUGAGGAAAGAAUGAAUAGGGAAGGAAAUGUCCUUAUUUUGUACGGUACCUCAGGAAUAAGGAACGGACUAACUCCGUGCCAGCAGCCGCGGUAACACG
RNAcentral lists this ribosomal RNA (518 nucleotides) under uncultured bacterium. Its description in RNAcentral is "bacterial SSU rRNA". It matches the Rfam family "Bacterial small subunit ribosomal RNA", at positions 29 to 527 of the family's 1533-position model. The record is from RNAcentral.